CCUACGGGGGGCAGCAGUCGAGAAUCAUUCACAAUGGGGGAAACCCUGAUGGUGCGACGCCGCGUGGGGGAAUGAAGGUCUUCGGAUUGUAAACCCCUGUCAUGUGGGAGCAAAUUAAAAAGAUAGUACCACAAGAGGAAGAGACGGCUAACUCUGUGCCAGCAGCCGCGGUAAUACAGAGGUCUCAAGCGUUGUUCGGAAUCACUGGGCGUAAGGCGUGCGUAGGCUGUUUCGUAAGUCGUGUGUGAAAGGCGCGGGCUCAACCCGCGGACGGCACAUGAUACUGCGAGACUAGAGUAAUGGAGGGGGAAGCGGAAUUCUUGGUGUAGCAGUGAAAUGCGUAGAUAUCGAGAGGAACACUCGUGGCGAAGGCGGGUUCCUGGACAUUAACUGACGCUGAGGCACGAAGGCCAGGGGAGCGAAAGGGAUUAGAUACCCGAGUAGUC
RNAcentral lists this ribosomal RNA (446 nucleotides) under uncultured bacterium. RNAcentral describes it as "partial 16S ribosomal RNA". It matches the Rfam family "Bacterial small subunit ribosomal RNA", at positions 338 to 795 of the family's 1533-position model. The record is from RNAcentral.